Caenorhabditis elegans is the source of this 136-nucleotide non-coding RNA. The record is from Ensembl. NCBI's taxonomy places the organism in Eukaryota, Metazoa, Nematoda, Chromadorea, Rhabditida, Rhabditidae.
GAUAUCCACCCCCGUCUCUUGUUCACUUUUUCUCCAAAAUUUGCUUUCGAAUAAGAAUGCGUGUCUCACUCUCUCUCACUGAAAUUGUGCGAGAACAAGAAUUGAGAGACGGAGAGUUAGCUAGAGCACCUGCUCC